RNAcentral lists this ribosomal RNA (467 nucleotides) under uncultured bacterium. RNAcentral describes it as "partial 16S ribosomal RNA". It matches the Rfam family "Bacterial small subunit ribosomal RNA", at positions 29 to 507 of the family's 1533-position model. The record is from RNAcentral.
ACGAACGCUGGCGGCGUGCUUAACACAUGCAAGUCGAACGGAAAGGCCCUGCUUUUGUGGGGUGCUCGAGUGGCGAACGGGGGAGUAACACGUGAGUAACCUGCCCUUGACUUUGGGAUAACUUCAGGAAACUGGGGCUAAUACCGGAUAGGAGCUCCUGCUGCAUGGUGGGGGUUGGAAAGUUUCGGCGGUUGGGGAUGGACUCGCGGCUUAUCAGCUUGUUGGUGGGGUAGUGGCUUACCAAGGCUUUGACGGGUAGCCGGCCUGAGAGGGUGACCGGCCCCAUUGGGACUGAGAUACGGCCCAGACUCCUACGGGAGGCAACAGUGGGGAAUAUUGCACAAUGGGCGGACGCCUGAUGCAGCAACGCCGCGUGCGGGAUGACGGCCUUCUGGUUGUAAACCGCUUUCGCCUGUGACGAAGCGUGAGUGACGGUACUGGGUAAAGAAGCACCGGCUAACUACGUG